Molecule: ribosomal RNA, 253 nt
Filed under: uncultured bacterium
Lineage: Bacteria
Description: partial 16S ribosomal RNA
Rfam family: Bacterial small subunit ribosomal RNA
Source: RNAcentral
AACGGAAGGUGCAAGCGUUGCUCGGAAUCACUGGGCGUAAAGGGUGCGUAGGCGGCCGCGCAAGUCUGGCGUGAAAGCCCCGGGCUCAGCCCGGGAAGGGCGCUCGAAACGGCGCGGCUCGAGUGCCGGAGGGGAGAGUGGAAUUCCUGGUGUAGCGGUGAAAUGCGUAGAUAUCGGAAGGAACGCCGGUGGCGAAAGCGGCGUGCUGGACCACUUCUGACGCUGAGGCGCGAAAGCCAGGGGAGCAAACGGG